RNAcentral lists this non-coding RNA (765 nucleotides) under Pachypsylla venusta (hackberry petiole gall psyllid). The record is from RNAcentral. Lineage: Eukaryota; Metazoa; Arthropoda; Insecta; Hemiptera; Aphalaridae.
UUAAAUAAAUUUUGUGAGUUAUAUAAUAUGUUUUAUUCUAGUAUUCGAAUUUUCUUGUUUAUUUUUUUUACAUACACAUUUUUAGUAAUUUAGAUAAUUAUAUGUAGUAAAUAUAUUUAGUUGAUUAAAUAGCUUUAGAUUUAGAAAUUUAAAUUUAAAAUUGACCUAUUUUGUGCCAGCCGUUGCGGUUAAACAAUUAAUUUUAAGGAAAUUUAAUGAAUUAAUAAUUAUAGAUUAGUAAAAGUAAAAUGAUGAAAUUUGGGGGUAAAAUUUCAAUUCAUUUAAUUUAUUUGUUUAUAAUAAUUAUGAAAUUAAUAUAAAGACCAGGAUUAGAUACCCUGUUAUUUUAAUGUAAAAUUGUUGGAGUAGUUGAAGUUAUGGUCUUGAAACUUAAAGGAUUUGGCGGUAUUUUAUCUUAUUAGAGGAACCUGUUUAUUAAUCGAUAAUCCACGAUUUUAUUCACUCUUAUUUAUAUUACUUGUAUACCGUUGUCAUGAGUAUACUUAGAAGUUUGAUUUUCUUUUAAUUUUAUUAAUUUUAUGUUAGAUCAAGGUGCAGUGUUUAAGAGAUUUUAAUGGGUUACUAUGCAAAUAAUGAAUGGAUGUUUAAUUAUGUUAAUUGCUUGAAAUAGGAUUUAAAAGUAAAUUUGUUAAAAAAGAUAAUAUGAAUUUAGAUUCUAAAAUAUGUACACAUUGCCCGUCACUCUUGCCUAAAGUAAGAUAAGUCGUAACAUAGUAGAUGUACCGGAAGGUGUUUCUAGAAAUA